UUAAGUUCAGCGGGUAUCCCUACCUGAUCCGAGGUCAACCAUAGAAAGUUAGGGGUUACUGGCCAGCGUCCACCGGAACUCAACAGCGAGAAGAAUUACUACGCUGAGAGCACGAUGGCGCCGCCACUCUUUUUGAGGCCCGCCGUUGCCGGCACGGCCCAAGACCAAGCGGUGCUUGAGGGUUGAAAUGACGCUCGAAC
This 200-nucleotide unclassified non-coding RNA is filed under the name Bisporella sp. Its description in RNAcentral is "partial internal transcribed spacer 2". Lineage: Eukaryota; Fungi; Ascomycota; Leotiomycetes; Helotiales; Helotiaceae. The record is from RNAcentral.